UAAGAAAUUAUCCGAUCGGGUUGAGGGUAAGAUGAUAACAAGGUCAAAACUGGUUGAGCAGCUGAGGGAUUACCAGAUCAGAUCUCAACACAAGUGUCCUCCUCUUACUUUCUUUUCCCCCAACCUUCAUCUCCACAAUUGGGCUGAUGUUGCAGUUGCUGUGUUCUGCGCCUUGCUAUUUGGUGUGCUUAUAUUAUCAUCAUAUGUGGCCCUUUAUUUACAGCAUUACUGGAGUUCCUUUCUCAUUAUAAGCCUUGCCAUUACCCUUCCAGUGCGGUUGAGAAUGUUACGACAGGCUCAUGCAAGGAAGAAAGUAAGACAGUUACCUUUGUCUAUGUGAACUUCCAUCUACUUCUGCAAGCACCAAAGGCCGUUUAAGUGAAAGGAAUACCUCUUGCACAAAAGUGCUCUUCGAUUGUAGACAUAAUUCUUUGAUCUUCGUGACAUAGACUGACCAAUCUUCUGCUGUGAAAGAUGGGAUACGCUCUUUGUAUUACUCUUGAUGACCCAUUCACUAAGAAGCAUGAUUAGAGGAUCAAUUAGUUCCCUGUGAAACGAACAACCGGAAUCCAGAGCUCAAGAUUUCAGGCAACAUUAAUUAUUGUAAACUAAGCUUGGUGGGAAAAAAGAUGCUCCAUUCUGGAUAAUUUCCAAGCAGGUGAGCUGAUUGUAGUAAACUUUGAAGCGAAUGUAGGGAUUAACACAUCAUAUCUGAAUGAUCAGAUGAUAGAAGUUGAAUGGUUGAAACGACCUUGGUUCAGGAAUAUUAUACUGAACCGUGUAGGGAAGUUGAGUUCUGUAAGAAAGAUAGCAUUUGUGUUUUCCGUUAAUUAGUAAUUUGUGUUUCAAAUAGAAAUAUUCCAACAUUAGAGGUUUUCGAAGGAAUUUGAUUGCUAUAUAUA
Long non-coding RNA from Lycium ferocissimum, 902 nucleotides. RefSeq lists it as uncharacterized. The record is from RefSeq and is a predicted model, not a curated record. The transcript has 2 exons. Lineage: Eukaryota; Viridiplantae; Streptophyta; Magnoliopsida; Solanales; Solanaceae.